This 453-nucleotide ribosomal RNA is filed under the name uncultured bacterium. RNAcentral describes it as "bacterial SSU rRNA". It matches the Rfam family "Bacterial small subunit ribosomal RNA", at positions 335 to 803 of the family's 1533-position model. The record is from RNAcentral.
ACUCCUACGGGAGGCAGCAGUGGGAAUAUUGGACAAUGGGGGCAACCCUGAUCUAGCCAUGCCGCGUGAGUGACGAAGGCCUUAGGGUCGUAAAGCUCUUUCGCUGGAGAAGAUAAUGACGGUAUCCAGUAAAGAAACCCCGGCUAACUCCGUGCCAGCAGCCGCGGUAAUACGGAGGAUCCAAGCGUUAUCCGGAAUCAUUGGGUUUAAAGGGUCCGCAGGCGGUCAAUUAAGUCAGAGGUGAAAUCCAGUCGCUUAACGAUUGAACUGCCUUUGAUACUGGUUGACUUGAGUCAUAUGGAAGUAGAUAGAAUGUGUAGUGUAGCGGUGAAAUGCUUAGAUAUUACACAGAAUACCGAUUGCGAAGGCAGUCUACUACGUAUGUACUGACGCUCAUGGACGAAAGCGUGGGGAGCGAACAGGAUUAGAUACCCUGUAGGUCAGUCAAGUCGU